This 368-nucleotide ribosomal RNA is filed under the name uncultured bacterium. Its description in RNAcentral is "bacterial SSU rRNA". It matches the Rfam family "Bacterial small subunit ribosomal RNA", at positions 523 to 898 of the family's 1533-position model. The record is from RNAcentral.
AUACGUAGGUGGCAAGCGUUAUCCGGAUUUAUUGGGCGUAAAGGGUGCUCAGUCGGUUGAUUAAGUUUGUAGUGAAAGCUCGGGGCUCAACCCCGGGUUGCUAUGAAAACUGGUCAGCUAGAGUGCAGAAGAGGGUAGUGGAAUUCCAUGUGUAGCGGUAAAAUGCGUAGAUAUAUGGAGGAACACCAGUGGCGAAGGCGGCUACCUGGUCUGUAACUGACGAUCAAGCACGAAAGCGUGGGGAGCAAAUAGGAUUAGAUACCCUAGUAGUCCACGCCGUAAACGAUGAAUACUAAGUGUUGGGGAAACUCAGUGCUGCAGUUAACGCAUUAAGUAUUCCGCCUGAGGAGUACGUGCGCAAGCAUAAA